Kangiella geojedonensis is the source of this 120-nucleotide regulatory RNA element. NCBI's taxonomy places the organism in Bacteria, Pseudomonadati, Pseudomonadota, Gammaproteobacteria, Kangiellales, Kangiellaceae. The record is from Rfam.
UUGAGCUGAAGAGUGAGCAAGUCAUAGUAAUUCAAAACAGGACGUUUUGAAUAGUGGCAUACAAGCCAUGGAUGGAAUGUAUGUCACGGUACGUUAAGUGACUUGGUUACUUUGAAGGAA